This 7377-nucleotide long non-coding RNA is filed under the name Homo sapiens (human). RNAcentral's name for it is "HSALNT0309444". Lineage: Eukaryota; Metazoa; Chordata; Mammalia; Primates; Hominidae. The record is from RNAcentral.
ACAGCCUCAGCGGACAGGAAAUGAUCAACAGCUUCUCCUCUCGGAUCCACGUGGACUCAAGGAAUCUCCGGGGGGCAGGACAGGUGCAGAGCCGAGUGCAAAGGUGGAAUUCUAUUCCCAAAGCACAUCCCGCGCCCCUUUCCUCUGCAAAGUCCCGGAACCGCGUGACUCCGGAUGAGUUAUCGGGGCUGGAACCGAGGGUUCAGCCCCCUGCGCCUCUGUGUGUCCCGGUCCCUUUCCUCCAAGUAGACAGGAGGCAUCUCCUCAUCGGCUCAGUUCACAUUCCUCCAGGGGCUCAAAGGGGACCCAGUCCCUGUCUUGGGACACCAAGUCAGGCAGACUCCAGGAGAGAGGAAGGAAGAUGAUUCCCGCGCUCAGGUGGGCGGGUCCUGCUCCCUCUGUUGAAGACCUGAAGACAAAGAUUGACCCUCACCCUUCACCUCCCACCUCUUCCUCACCUUGGAAAAGAAAAACAUUCCUGAGAGGGGGGAUUUGUCAGCAGAAGGCUUUGGGACUAGAACUGCAGCAUCAGCUCUUCCUGGUUCCCCAGCGCCCAGGCCUACCCUGCAGAUGUGGGCUUACUGGCCUCCACGAUCAGUGAGCCGGUUCCUUAAAAUCAACCUCUCUCUCUUCCUCUGUCUCUCCCUCUCUCUCUCUCCCUGUCCACAUCCCAUUGGUUCUGUUUCUCUGGGGAAACCUGACUAAUAAGGGGACUCUCAAGGCCCUGGCUGAGGAUGGCAGGCCUGAAGAUUCUCUGAGGCAUUCAGCAUUGAAUGAGCACCAGCUGGGCGUGGAGCUGUGUCAGGCGCUGGGCACAGGACUCAGCCCCGGAACCAAGUGUGGGCCCACAUGGUGUGGGCCUUUGUCUGUCCCUGUCAUGGCUUUGGACACACGCGUGGCCCAGAGGGGACAACGGAUCUGGGUGGCGAGGUGGGAAAGCUCACCCCAGUAUUCCUCUUGGUGGCAGCAGUCCCUUAAGGGGUCGCCUGAGUCGUGAGACCCACAGGUGUGGACCUCCCCCCCCCCUUCCUCCCCUCUCCCCCAGUGACUUUAUCCAGCACCUGCCCUGCCCAGCCUUGCACAGGUUACCCUGUGACCCACUCACAGGGAGAUAGGGCAGCUUCUUUCUGCCCUCAGGAGCCUUGUUCUCAAGGCAGCUCAUCCAAGAGAAUAACAUACAGUAGAUUGCCACACACAUGACUGUGGCUUAGUCCAGGAAAGCCACUUAUAAAAUCCGGAGGUGAAGGAAGAAAAGAUUGAAAUCUCUGUAACAAAUCCAUUUCCCUCCUCCCUCCCUCCCUUCAUCUCCAAAGUAGACCUGCCCCAGGGCCAGGGAUCCUCUCCCUGCAAGGCUAGGUAACAAGCGGAUUUUUGCUUUUGAGCUUCAAGGUCCUGGCUUCUGGUGGUUUAUAGGUGAUCUUUGAGGGUGGUUUUGACGAGAGGCUUGUUAGCUUCUCUACGCUUUUGAAACGCCCACUCUCCCCACAAGAAUCUGGGACUUUGCAGAACCGGUCCAAGAGACGAGGUCUCCCUAAGUUGCCCACGCUGGUCUUGAACUCCUGGGCUCAAGUGACCCACCUGCCUCGGCCUCUCAAAAUGCUGAGAUUAUAGGCAUGAGCCACUGUGCCCGGUUCAAGUUAAAGAUCUUGAGAUGAAAUGAUUCUUGGGAUCAUUAUCUUGGACGGAUUGUAAAUCCCAGGAUGAAUGUCCUUAUAUGAGACGCGCAGAGGAGAGACACAGAGAUGGAAGAGGAGAAGGCCAUGUGAAGGCAGAGGCAGCGACUUGAGAGUUGCAGCCACAAGCCAGGAUGGCCUGGAAGAGGCAGGAGCAGACUCUUCUUAGAGCCUCCAGAGGGAGUGUGGCCCUGCUGACACCUUGAUCUUGGACCCUUGGCCCAUCAGAGCUGUAAGAGAGUAAGUUUCUGCUGUUUGAGGUCAUCUGCUGCAGGAGCCCCCAGGAACAAAUACACCUCCCAAUCCCAUUUUUAAUUCCCGAGGGUUUGCACCCCCAGGACACUUCUUCCACACAUGCCCUGUUGUGCUCCGUAUUGCCCUGUGUCCAUUUGGAAGUGGGACUCCAUCCUGUUGAUACGUUCCACAUAAAAUAUACUUGUACCAAAAAUGUCUUGUUUUUAGGAGACUGUGGGGGAUGGGAGUUGGGGGAAGGGUUCCAUUUUCCAGGGCAAUUAUAGCUGUCCCUCAGUAUCCUAAAGGGUUUGGUUCCAGGACUCCUGCAGGUACCAAAAUUCAAGGAUGUCCAAGUCUCUGAUAUAAAAUGGCAUAGUAUUUGUAAAUAACCUAUGCACAUUCUCCUGUAUACUUUAAAUCAUCUCUAGAUUAUUUGUAAUACCUAAUACAAUGUAAGUGCUGUGUAAAUAGUUAUUGUACUGUAUUAGUUUUAAAAUUUGUGUUAUUUAUUAUUAUUAUUUUGAGACAGAGUCUCGCUCUGUCGCCAGGCUGGAGUGCAGUGGCAUGAUCUUGGCUCACUGUACCCUCCGCCUUCCAGGUUCAAGCGAUUCUCCUGCCUCAGACUCCUGAGGAGCUGGGACUACAGGUGCAUGCCACCACGCCCAGCUAAUUUUUGUAUUUUUAGUAGAGAUGGGGUUUCACCAUGUUGGCCAGGAUGGUCUCGAUCUCUUGACCUCAUGAUCCUCCCACCUUAGCCUCCCAAAGAGCUGGGAUUACAGAUGUGAGCCACCGUGCCUGGCCUAUUGUUGCUAUUAUUAAAAAAAAAAUUUGGAGAUGAGGUCUCAGUCUGUUGCCCAGGCUGGAGUGUAGUGACAUGAUUAUGGCUCACUGCAGCCUCAAACUCCUGGACUCAAGCUAUCCUGCCACCUCAGCCUGCCGAGUAGCUGAGACUACAGGUUCGUGCCACCACACCUGGCUAAUUUUUGUUUUUUUGGUUUUUGUAGAGCUGUGAUCUCAUUAUGUGUUGUCCAGGCUGGUCUCAAACUCCUGGCCUCAAGUGAUCCUCCCACCACAGUGCUGGGAUGGCAGGUGUGAGCCACUGUGUCUGGCCUGUUGUUAUUUUUAAAUUGCUUUUCUUUUUUCAAAUAUUUUUGAUCCAUGGUUGAUUGAAAUCUUGGAUGUGGAACCAGGGGGUAACUGAGGGCGAAUUGCACUGGGCUUUCCCUUGACUAAAUUUGGGCAAAAUAAAAUGAUCUCUAACCUUUGUAAAGCUAAUCAGACACCUCUAGGGUAGCAAAUCCUAAAAGAAAAAGAUCAGGCAUAUGAGUGCGUGUGUGUGUGCACGUGUAUCUGUGUUGCCAAGCUGUUCCCUCCCCCACCCCCACCACUUUGCUUUUGGAGGCAAAGGAAAGGCACCCUCCUGGCUAGCAGGCCAGAUGAGCCUUGUCACCUGGGGGAUAGGAUGCGACCCAGAUCUGCUCCUGAGCACAAAGAUGAGCAAAAUCAAAGGAAAUUGCAUGAGACUGAAGACCUUCUGUGUGGUCCUCCUGGGAGUGGCAGAAGUUUCUGGUGGAGGCGCAAAACAGGCCCCUGCUACACAUAACUUCCAUAACCACCAAUCCACAGGCAAUCCACCCACCCACACCACAUCCCAGGCCUCUCCUUUCCGUGCCUGACCUGUGCUCCCGUGGCCUGCAUGGGUGUGAGUCGCCUCUUUCUCCACUGCAGGCCUCUUCCAGGAUGUCCUGGUGAAGAACACCACUGCCUGUCCAAUUAUACUAGUCAGAACCCUGGGAGUGUCUCUUGACACUCCUUCUCAUCGUCCGCCAAACCCAGCCCAUCCCCAAAGCCUGUUGAUUGUAUUUCCUGCUUGUCACACAAAUGCCACCAGCUUUGAUGGGCACCUUGUUCCUCCCCUUUGUGGUACUUGUCACAGUUGCAAUUUGCCUGUGAGCUCCGCAGAAGACAGAUGCCACGGCUGCUUAUUCCUUGUCGUGUCCCUGGUUCCUAAAACAGUGCCUCGUGCAUCACUGGUGUUCAAUAAAUACUUGCCAAAUCAUUGAAUAAAUAAGCAAAUGAAUGAAGGAAUGCAGUUUUGAGUGAGGAUGGUGUUGAAAAGGAAUAAAGCCUUCCCCAGUAGUGCCUGAGGUCCAUGUAAGAAUGUCCUAGAUGAUAAGACAGGAGACACACGGGCGUGGUAGAUGGGCUCUCCCCACCCCUCCCCAUAAGAGUGCAAAGCUGGGACAAGCCAGAGGCUUCACAGGCCUGGUAACUGGGGGGUAGGGUUUGGUGAUUCCUACCCAGGGCUGGGGGCAUCGGGAGGCUCUUCCUCUCUACCUGGACUGUGUUUACCAGGUGUGUUUCCCAUUCAUUAUUUUCCAGUGGGUACUGGGUUCAAAGUUUCUAUAAGCAGUGGGGGCUUUGAGGUUCGAGGAAAGUGUAGUAUAGCUUUCUCUUCCUUUUAGGAAGAUUUCUGUUUUUCUUUUUCUUUUUUUUUUUUUUUUUUUGAGACAGAGUCUUGCUCUGUCACCCCAGCUGGAGUGCAGUGGCAUGAUCGAGGCUCACUCCAACCUCCGCCUCCCAGGUUCAAGUGAUUCUUGUGCCUCAGACUCCUGAGUAGCUGGGAUUACAGACAUGAGCCUCUGCACCCGUCCUAGGAAGAUUUCAAAACGAAGAUGAGUCUAUUGUAAUUUAGAGGGCCAUUUUAAACUCCCUGUGUUGGUGGCAGAUGGUUUGGGUCUGGCAGCUAGCUCUAUCCCAACCUUCUCUAUCCACCCUGCAACUCCCUCCCCUCCCCCUCACAUUUUAUUUUGAAAUUUUCAAACAUUCUGAAAAGUUCAAAGAAGAGUACAAUGAACUUACCCUGGAUUCUCCAACUGUUAACAUUUUGCCACAAUUGCUUUGUCUCUGUUGGUCUCUCUCUGUCUUUGUAUAUUUCCACAUACUUUUAUUUUGCUGAGCAAUUUGAAAGCAAGUUGCUGACAUCUUGACACUUCACUUCUAGAUAUCUCAGCAUCUCCUAAUAAGGAUAUUCUCCCACAAAACCACAAUACCAUGAUCACAACCAUAAUAGCACCCAGUGUACUAUCUGUAUUCAAAUCUCUACAGUUGUCCCCGGAAGAGCUUUUAAUGCUGGAUUUUUUUUUCCUAUCCAGGAUCCAAUCAAGAUCAUGUAUGAUAUUUGGUUGUUAUGGCUCUUCAGUCUCUUUUCAUCUGAAACAGUCUUUCACCUUUUUAUUGUUGUUGUUGUUCUUUGUUUAUGUGAAAUUAGUUUUUGAUAAAGAGUCCAGGACAGUUGUCUUGUAGAGUGUCCCAUAUGUGGGUUAAUCUGAUUGCUUACACAAGAUUAGAUGCAGGUUGAAUAUCUUUGGCCAGAGUUCUGUACUGCAUAGGUGCCACUGUAGACUUCUCAGUCAAGUAUCACAUCUGGAGUAAAUAAUGUCAAUAUCACAUCUGGAGUAAAUAAUGUCAGGCAUCACAACUGGAGUAAAUAAUGUCAGUAUCACAUCUGGAGUAAAUAAUGUCAGUAUCACAUCUGGAGUAAAUAAUGUCAGUAUCAUAUCUGGAGUAAAUAAUGUCAGUUAUCACAUCUGGAGUAAAUAAUGUCAGGCAUCACAUCUGGAGUAAAUAAUGUCAGGCAUCACAUCUGGAGUAAAUAAUGUCAGGCAUCACAUCUGGAGUAAAUAAUGUCAAUAUCACAUCUGGAGUAAAUAAUGUCAGUUAUCACAUCUGGAGUAAAUAAUGUCAGUUAUCACAUCUGGAGUAAAUAAUGUCAGUUAUCACAUCUGGAGUAAAUAAUGUCAGGUAUCACAUCUGGAGUAAAUAAUGUCAGUAUCACAUCUGGAGUAAAUAAUGUCAGUAUCACAUCUGGAGUAAAUAAUGUCAGUAUCACAUCUGGAGUAAAUAAUGUCAGGCAUCACAUCUGGAGUAAAUAAUGUCAGGUAUCACAUCUGGAGUAAAUAAUGUCAGUAUCACAUCUGGAGUAAAUAAUGUCAAUAUCACAUCUGGAGUAAAUAAUGUCAGGUAUCACAUCUGCAGUAAAUAAUGUCAGUAUCACACCUGGAGUAAAUAAUGUCAGGCAUUACAUCUGGAAUAAAUAAUGUCAGUAUCACAUCUGCAGUAAAUAAUGUCAGUUAUCACAUCUGGAGUAAAUAAUGUCAGGCAUCACAUCUGGAGUAAAUAAUGUCAGUAUCACAUCUGGAGUAAAUAAUGUCAGGUAUCACAUCUGCAGUAAAAAACAUCAGUAUCACAUCUGGAGUAAAUAACAUCAGGUAUCACAUCGGGAGUAAAUAAUGUCAGUAUCGCAACUGGAGUAAAUAAUGUCAGGCAUCACAUCUGGAGUUAAUAAUGUCAGGCAUCACAUCUGGAGUAAAUAAUGUCAGUAUCACUUCUGCAGUAAGUAAUGUCAGGUAUCACAUCUGGAGUAAAUAAUGUCAGGUAUCACAUCUGGAGUACAUAAUGUCAGUAUCACAUCUGGAGUAAAUAAUGUCAGGUAUCACAUCUGGAGUAAAUAAUGUCAGGCAUCACAUCUGGAGUACAUAAUGUCAGCCACUCUUGGUCAUUCUGAGUUUGAUCACUAAUCCUCACUCUGCUUCCCCUUUUGUAAGUAAUUUUUAGAAUCUUCACAUGGUCACAGGAUUAACUGAAUAUCCAAGUCACCAAACAGUUUUGGCAACUCUUGGUGAUGCUUACCUGAAGGAAGCAUUACAUUGGAGGUUGGAAAAUGGUAGUUUUUCAUUCUUUUAUUCCUGCUACAUUUACUAGCUGGCCUUUUUUUCUGUAAGAAUUUCCAAAUCCCACUAUAUUAAAAACAUUAAUCACUGUGGGUUCGUGGAGUUUUAAAAAUGCUAUAAUUGAAACUACAGUUAUUCAUUUUGAUGUUCAAAUCAUCCCACAUUUGAGCAGUGGGAGCCCUCAGGUCAGCUCCUGAAUCCUUUUGACAUGAUCACAUUUAUCUUCCAAAACUGUUUUGCUUUCUGGUGUGACAAGAGAUUCCAUGCUCACGUUGUACAUUUUCACCCCUGACCUAGAAUCUACCAUUUCUCUAACGAGCCCUGGUGCCUUUAGUGGUGAAUGGUAUAGAGAAAGAAAGAACCUGGUGAUAUAUGCGAUCAUUGCUACUCGGCUGUCAUUCAGUGGACAGGAUUAGAAAACUCAUUUUAAAAAAAAUUACAAGUUCAAACUGAUAUAUUUCCUACUCAAAUUUAACAUUACAGUUUUUCUUUCACUUCUUUACUGACUACUAGUAUCUUUUUUCCCCGUCAGUAAAAUAUAUAUUUGCUUAUUUGCUUUCCACUAUACAUGCACAAAAGAGUUUCAGAAUUACAAGACCAAUAUUACUGCUAACAGUAAACAUACUAAAUAGAAGUUUUUCUAUAGUUCUUCUGUUCUUAGAACAGAUCCUUCUCCACAAUCAGAGUGUUUGCUCUGUGUGGUUGUGGUAUCAGUUUGAGGCGUUAUCAGUUUGAUU